CCGUUGCCGGCGACCGGCGCACGGGUGAGUAACACGUAUGCAACCUGCCCGUGGCAGGGGGAUAAGCGGGGAAACCCGUCUAAUACCGCGUAACGCGGCCUUGGGGCAUCCCAAGGCCGCCAAAGGGAGCAAUCCCGGCCACGGAUGGGCAUGCGGCGCAUUAGCUAGUCGGCGGGGUAACGGCCCACCGAGGCGACGAUGCGUAGGGGUUCUGAGAGGAAGGCCCCCCACACUGGUACUGAGACACGGACCAGACUCCUACGGAAGGCAGCAG
This 274-nucleotide ribosomal RNA is filed under the name uncultured bacterium. RNAcentral's name for it is "partial 16S ribosomal RNA". It matches the Rfam family "Bacterial small subunit ribosomal RNA", at positions 82 to 354 of the family's 1533-position model. The record is from RNAcentral.